CCUACGGGUGGCAGCAGUGAGGAAUAUUGGUCAAUGGGCGCGAGCCUGAACCAGCCAAGUAGCGUGAAGGAUGACUGCCCUACGGGUUGUAAACUUCGUUUAUAAAGGAAUAAAGUGAGUCACGUGUGCCUUUUUGUAUGUACUUUAUGAAUAAGGAUCGGCUAACUCCGUGCCAGCAGCCGCGGUAAUACGGAGGAUCCGAGCGUUGUCCGGAUUUAGUGGGUUUAAAGGGAGCGUAGAUGGGUUGUUAAGUCAGUUGUGAAAGUUUGCGGCUCAACCGUAAAAUUGCAAUUGAUACUGGAAGUCUUGAGUACAGUUGAGGUAGGCGGAAUUCGUGGUGGAGCGGUGAAAUGCUUAGAUAUCACGAAGAACUCCGAUUGCGAAGGCAGCUUACUAAACUGCCACUGACAUUGAUGCUCGAAAGUGUGGGUAUCAAACAGGAUUAGAUACCCCUGUAGUC
This 460-nucleotide ribosomal RNA is filed under the name uncultured bacterium. RNAcentral's name for it is "partial 16S ribosomal RNA". It matches the Rfam family "Bacterial small subunit ribosomal RNA", at positions 338 to 795 of the family's 1533-position model. The record is from RNAcentral.